GACGAACGCUGGCGGCGUGCUUAACACAUGCAAGUCGAACGGAAAGGCCCUGCUUUUGUGUGGUACUCGAGUGGCGAACGGGUGUGUAACACGCGAGUAAAAUGCCCUUGACUUUGGGAUAACUUCAGGAAAAUGGGGAUAAUACCGGAUAGGAGCUUUUGAUGCACGGUGGGGGUUGGAAAGAUUCGGCGGUUUGGGAUGGACUCGCGGCUUAUCAGCUUGUUGGUGAGGUAGUGGAUUACGAAGGCUUUGACGGGUAGCCGGCCUUAGAGGGUGACCGGGCACAAUGGGACUAAGGGACGGCCCAGACUGCUACGGGAGGCAGCAGUGGGGAAUAUUGCGCAAUGGGCGGAAGCCUGAUACAGCAACGCCGCGUGCGUAAUAACGGCCUUCGGGUUAUAAACCGCUUUGGCCUGAGACGAAGCGUGAGUGACGGUAAUGGGUAAAGAAGCACCGGCUAACUACGUG
RNAcentral lists this ribosomal RNA (468 nucleotides) under uncultured bacterium. Its description in RNAcentral is "partial 16S ribosomal RNA". It matches the Rfam family "Bacterial small subunit ribosomal RNA", at positions 28 to 507 of the family's 1533-position model. The record is from RNAcentral.